Molecule: long non-coding RNA, 1641 nt
Filed under: Marmota monax (woodchuck)
Lineage: Eukaryota; Metazoa; Chordata; Mammalia; Rodentia; Sciuridae
Source: RNAcentral
AGAAAAGUAAUUUUUUUUUCUCAAGCAAUUCAAGUUUAUUUGUAGAUUUUAGUAAUAAUAUUGGUAAAUUAAGAAAUUAUAAGCACAAUUUGCUCAAAUGAAAGCAUUUUGAAUAAGCUUCUCAACGAUUUUUUUAGAAUUAAUUAUAUAUUUUUUCAUGUUUCAUUGGUGAUGAUUCUAUUAUCUAAUUUGAAUUUAUAAAUAUCCAAAGGAAGUUUUAAAGCGUAAUUAUAAUUAACCCUUUCUAAAAGAAAAGAAUUUAUAACAGUACAUUAUAGAGUAACAAUUCAAACUCAACUAUUUUUCUUUUUAAUUGGAGCAUAAAGCUGAGACAAUACUUCGUACCAGGUUAACAUAUGACUUUUUGGUUUUAAAGGUGAAUGUACAUACUAAACAUAGAAAUUCACCACUAAAACUUUGUCAUUACCUCCCAGACUAUCUUGACAUUAUUCCUCCAUUUCAUAAUUGACAAAUUCCCACUACUGGUCACCUGGCCAACACCUUCCAUUUCUGGAACUUAACACUUAGUAAAUUAAGGACACAGAAACGUUGUUAUGACAAUUACUUUGUCUCUUAAGAUUCCUAUAAUCUAACUCUUAGAUCAGUUCCCACCCUGUUAGCUUGUUGGAUUUUAUAUUUGUUGGUCUUUUAUGUUUUUAAAGUCUGUAUUAGUUACUUUAUAAAAUGUCUCACAUCCUGGAAAUUUUUUGUUGUUUUGGUUUUUGUUGUUUUUUUCCCCACAAGUUCAUGUUAACAUUUUUAGCAAGAGCCCAACAUAGGUGAAGUAAUUUACUUAUUAAUUUUCUAUUGUACCAGAUAAGAAGGUAUAUACUAUCGGUUUAUUCCAUUUUUUGCUAAUGCUAACACCACUUUCACCACUUUGAUCACAUGGUGAAAGUGGUGUUAUGGACUGAGUUUUUGUAUAGUCCCUCCCAGAUUUGUAGGCUAAAAUCCUAACAUCCAGUGGGCUGUCACUAUGAGAUGGGGCCUUGGCAGGUGAUCAAAUCAUGAGGGUGGAGCUCUCAUGAAUGUAUUAGUGCCCUCGGAAGAGACCAUGGAGAACUUUCUUUCUCCUUUCCACCAGGGGAGGACACAGCAGGAAGACCCCCAUCUGUGAGCCAGAGUAUGCUCAAAUAAUAUGUAUGAGGCACAAAUAGGAAUCAAUUGACGUGAGGCUAUUACUUCUAUAUAUAAAAAAAAAAUGGUUUUGUUUUUUUUUCCUCAUUUGGAUUUAUCCUGUGAUGAGACAGAAGUCUUGACUAUAGUGACUCCAUGUUGUUUAAUAUCUCCAUUUUGUAAAACAGCCAUGUCAACUAGGAAGGUCAUGACUGGGACAAGUUGUUUUUCUUUUGCUUGUGAAAAUCCUCAAGAACACAGAACUAUCUAACUGGGCUCUGUUUCUGUAACUGGGAUGACUGGGCUAAUUGUGAUUGGCUAAGCUUCCCGCCACCUGACUGCAAUCUCCCGCUUCUGUAACCUGGCUUGCUUGCAUUAGCUAAACCCCCAAACAUUCCUUUUGUGGUUUUCAAGCUUAAAAGGAACGCCCUUACAAUUGUUUGGGGCUGAUCCGGAACAGACUUUAUGUUCCCGGUCAGUCGCCGAGGGUGUGCUUCAAUAAAGGCUUGAUUCGAUUACAUGUGA